CGAGGUGGCGCGCGGCGGUGGAGCGCGGCCGAGGGUCCCGCACCUCCCAGGUGUGGACUGCAAAAGGAUCCAUUCAGCUCAUGUGGUCCUCACAUCAGAACACAAUUGCACCCAGCACAGAGUGAACUCUCAUGCGGGUACUCUUUGAAGAUCAGAGAGGGGGCCAGGAUGUGGUCCAAGAUUUGCAAAUUUGGGUGAGAAACUUAUAGCCCCCACCUACCCCACCAAUCACUGGAAGCUGCUGACAUUUAUGAGAAGGAGGAGCCGACAGUGGAGGAUGACCAUGAGGGUGGAGGCUCACCACAAACUUGAAACCUUCAAGACCAUUAUCCAUUAACGGGGGAGGAGCACAGGUUCUGUGAGUCACAACUUGAGUUGUAUUAUAUUAAGUAAGGUAAAGACCGUCAACCACGGCAUAUGAGGUCAGGCCACGUUUUGCUGGUGGUUUUUAGAGCUGCUUGGGUUUUAGAAUUGUGGAUAAGGAGUGGUGGACUUGUACACAUUCUAACUCUGGUUUGCUAUUCAGUGUUGAGGAAGUUACUUCCCAGUGCCUCAGGAUAUAGUCACCUAGAUGUUGAGGAAUGACUUAUCUCCAGGAUUAAAGCAGUUGCUGCCACACACAGUGCCAUGAAUUUUAUAAGUAUCCUACAUAUGCGGUUCUUUGAGUGCUCACUACAGCAAUGAAAUCUGGCUAACUUCCCAGAGAGGGAACUGAUUGGAGGAAUAUGGGUGAAUGAAAACACCCAAAGGACGAGCUGAACAGUGAAGAAGAGUAAGACCCAGGGGAGCGGGGGGAGCGGGGAGAAUCAGCUCCUGUAUUUUCUGUGUGUGUUAUGGCAGUCAAAAUUGAGGGCCUGGAGGAGCCAUGUUUGCAAAGCUAAAUCAAAUUUCAGCCUCUUGCCUGAGGAAGCCAGCUCUUUGACUGUAGGAGGAACGGGACAGUUUCCAUCCCUCUACCCAUAACUCCAGCACCAAGAUCAUGUCUGGUGAGGACGAACUCAUUUGCGGUACCUUCUGUCCUCAGUAAAUGAUGCAUUGUAAACUCAUGGGGAAAGGAGCCAUCCAAAGAAAAAUAUGUAUCAUUUAUGUAACAUACCGUUUAAAGGUCUAGUUUCUUGUCUUGGUCCUGCUGCUUAUUAUGUGUGACCUUAAGUGAAUCACUCCAAGUCUCUCAUUUUUAUUUUAUUUUUUAUUUAUUUAUUUUGAGAUGGAGUCUUGCUCUGUCA
RNAcentral lists this long non-coding RNA (1226 nucleotides) under Homo sapiens (human). RNAcentral describes it as "HSALNT0346846". The record is from RNAcentral. Lineage: Eukaryota; Metazoa; Chordata; Mammalia; Primates; Hominidae.